ACCCAGCCGAUGAGUCCCAAAUAGGACGAAACACGCUUCCUGGAU
This is a non-coding RNA of Schistosoma haematobium, 45 nucleotides long. NCBI's taxonomy places the organism in Eukaryota, Metazoa, Platyhelminthes, Trematoda, Strigeidida, Schistosomatidae. The record is from Rfam.